AUUGAACGCUGGCGGCAGGCCUAACACAUGCAAGUCGAGCGGAUGAAGGGAGCUUGCUCCUGGACUCAGCGGCGGACGGGUGAGUAAUGCCUAGGAAUCUGCCUGGUAGUGGGGGAUAACGUCCGGAAACGGGCGCUAAUACCGCAUACGUCCUGAGGGAGAAAGUGGGGGAUCUUCGGACCUCACGCUAUCAGAUGAGCCUAGGUCGGAUUAGCUAGUUGGUGGGGUAAAGGCCUACCAAGGCGACGAUCCGUAACUGGUCUGAGAGGAUGAUCAGUCACACUGGAACUGAGACACGGUCCAGACUCCUACGGGAGGCAGCAGUGGGGAAUAUUGGACAAUGGGCGAAAGCCUGAUCCAGCCAUGCCGCGUGUGUGAAGAAGGUCUUCGGAUUGUAAAGCACUUUAAGUUGGGAGGAAGGGCAGUAAGUUAAUACCUUGCUGUUUUGACGUUACCAACAGAAUAAGCACCGCCUAACUUCGUG
Molecule: ribosomal RNA, 484 nt
Filed under: uncultured bacterium
Lineage: Bacteria
Description: partial 16S ribosomal RNA
Rfam family: Bacterial small subunit ribosomal RNA
Source: RNAcentral